GAUGAACGCUGGCGGCGUGCCUAAUACAUGCAAGUCGAGCGAACAGACGAGGAGCUUGCUCCUCUGACGUUAGCGGCGGACGGGUGAGUAACACGUGGAUAACCUACCUAUAAGACUGGGAUAACUUCGGGAAACCGGAGCUAAUACCGGAUAAUAUAUUGAACCGCAUGGUUCAAUAGUGAAAGACGGUGUUGCUGUCACUUAUAGAUGGAUCCGCGCCGCAUUAGCUAGUUGGUAAGGUAACGGCUUACCAAGGCAACGAUGCGUAGCCGACCUGAGAGGGUGAUCGGCCACACUGGAACUGAGACACGGUCCAGACUCCUACGGGAGGCAGCAGUAGGGAAUCUUCCGCAAUGGGCGAAAGCCUGACGGAGCGACGCCGCGUGAGUGAUGAAGGUCUUCGGAUCGUAAAACUCUGUUAUUAGGGAAGAACAAAUGUGUAAGGAACUAUGCACGUCUUGACGAUACCUAAUCAGAAAGCCACGGCUACUACGUGCCAGCCGCCGCCGUAA
This 512-nucleotide ribosomal RNA is filed under the name uncultured bacterium. RNAcentral's name for it is "partial 16S ribosomal RNA". It matches the Rfam family "Bacterial small subunit ribosomal RNA", at positions 28 to 523 of the family's 1533-position model. The record is from RNAcentral.